This is a long non-coding RNA of Diceros bicornis minor, 1374 nucleotides long. RefSeq lists it as uncharacterized. The record is from RefSeq and is a predicted model, not a curated record. The transcript is spliced from 4 exons. Lineage: Eukaryota; Metazoa; Chordata; Mammalia; Perissodactyla; Rhinocerotidae.
UGCUGUGUGUCAGCACUCUGUCCCAGCCCUGGAGAAGCUCAGAGUUUGGUGAUGUGAGAGCAACAAUGAUGGGCACUCAUAGUCUGGUGGUGGAGUUUGUUCUGAGGAUCAAGCAAAACGAAGUACGGGGAAGUCUUUGUACAAGCCUUUUUGAGGACCAUCACCAUGACAGCCAUUAAGCUGGAGCAAACUCUCCUCCUGUGAACCACUCUCGCAUAAAAAGGGAAGCAUGAAGAAUACAGCAUAUCUAGUGAAGAAAACCUGGGGGUUUUAGUGGACCACAAGCUUCUUACAAACCAACACUGUGAAGUGGCAGCCUAAAAAAAGGAGAAAGGAGGCUGCCACCAGAGGGAGCGAGCGCCCUGUUAUUGGAGCACAGACCAGCUAACCACUCCAGGGUGAUUCCUUCUGGGAUCUGUCCUAGAGGACCUUGGUGGCUUCUUCAAUCCCGGGGACUCCAACAAUCUAGGAAUGAACAACAAUCCAUCUUGAUCCCAGGGUCGCCCUUCUGUCUUCCCUGGAGACCUGCAGUUCCUGCCCUGAACUAUUGCCAGAGGAUUCUUUGGGCCAAAGCAUGAGGCCUGGAAGUUAAUUCCAGGAAGAGCUUGCCCACAUUGUGGGAUCCAACAGAAGUGGAGUGGGAUAAGGGAGAGGGAGAGGCAGUGGGCUCUCGACCACCAGCCCCGCUCCUGGCCAAGCAGGAGAGGGGCCCCAGGGCCCAGGUGGGGGCCCAGGAGGCAGAUCAACCUGCAGGAGGGACUCCUGUCCAGUGCCUCCUCCUCGGGUCUUUCUGAGUCCUGCCCCAGCCCAGGCUGUCCGAGGGGGACAGCUCUCACCUGAGCCCUUUGCGGGGUGUGACGUCUCAGGAAGGUACUAGGUGGAGCCAGGACACCCUGUCACCUCCCACCUCAUCUCUGGGAUUCAGGGGUCAAGCUAUCUUCCUGCUGGGAGUCCAGUGUCGAGGGGGACCCACUAGGAGGGAAGAUGAGAAGGCGGCCUUGGAGAAGAGUCAAGUCUGAGGAGAUUGGAUGAAUGGUGGGAGAAGGAGGGAAUCUGGAAGGGGUGUUGGUCUGUCCAGGGCAGCUGGGGGGAGAGGGAAGGUAUAUUUAUCUUCUGAGCUGGUGGCAUUAAAAAUAACCAGGGGCCCUGAGUAACCCAAGCUCCUCAGCCUCCUAUGUGAGGGUGGAGGCCAUCAGUGGAGACUAGAAGGGCAGAAUGAUGAGAAAGCCGAGGAUGGGACCAGAAUGGUCUCCUCCCCCUUUGCCCCCCAGCCUGGGCUACUGCUUAGCAGGGCGGAGGGGAGGCUGGUGCCCCGUGGGCUGGCUGGAGUGGGCAAGGAGGGAGGGAGGAGGGGAGCGGGGAGCCGGGCAGGAA